This is an RNA transcript of Myxocyprinus asiaticus (Chinese sucker), 4405 nucleotides long. RefSeq lists it as uncharacterized. Lineage: Eukaryota; Metazoa; Chordata; Actinopteri; Cypriniformes; Catostomidae. The transcript is spliced from 7 exons. The record is from RefSeq and is a predicted model, not a curated record.
UAAUAUUCUGGGUGGACCACGGUUUAAUUUGGGAGGGCCCAGGCCUACCCUUGGCAACAUCACUGUCUCAGACUCAGGUGCUUUUCAAUAGCUGACAACACAGUGUUUUAGAGUUUUCUGUUCUCUGACAUGACUGAAGAACAGCAAUCAAGCCAUUUAAAGCCAACAUUAAAUAACCCAGCCUACCAGUUUGUGAUGUAUUUAUUUAGUUUCACACGGGCGUUGCCGUUUGAAGUCCGCACUCAUAGCGGCGAGUGACAGGCCGUGCUUUUUGAAACAGUGCUUAUCAGGCCAGAUAUGAGCAACAGUCGUGCUGGUUUACGUGUUUGAGGUAUUGUCAACACUUCCGGAUUUCGCACAUAAAGAAGAAUGCGCAGACCGGCAACACAGCCUUCACCAAGGAGGACAACGACAGCGAUGACCGGGACGAUCCUACGCGCACUUUUCCUUGUGUUGCAGAUGUUUUUAGUAUUUAAUACGUCUGCGGAAUCUCGUCAUUCUGAAGAAAAAUGUCCUACAAAAAAGGAAAUACCAUCAUGUAAGAGUAUACUCACGUCCACGGACAAGGAAUAUACAUACCAGGUGCUGCCGAGCUUCUAUGCAUACUUGAACAUGGAUUGCGAACAUGGAUGGUAUCAUCAGAAUGGAACAUUUAUUGUUGAUUCGACUGUGCAUGGCAGUGGGGAGAAGUUAGGAUGUGUCGUGCAUAUGACACCUCAGAACCUGACAGUCAGUACUUGUAUGAACCUUCAAUGGCAAAUUCACUGUGAACAAAUUCAGUAUAACUGUACAGUCAAUUAUAUAGAACAAGAAAAUAAACAAUCCUGAUCUUCUUCUGCAAACUGAUGUAUUUUGCAAGAGUUACACAUCUGUCCAUUACAUUAUAAGUUGAUGGUAAUUUUUCCAGAUGUACACUACCAGUCAAAAGUUUUGAAACACUUGACUGAAAUGUUUCUCAUGAUCUUAAAAAUCUUUUGCUCUGAAGGCGUAUGCUUAAAUGUCUGAAAUUAGUUUUGUAGACAAAAAUAUAAUUGUGUCACCAUAUUAAUUUAUUUCAUUAUAAAUCUAAAAUUUAAUAAAAAAAUAAAUACAAAAACAUUUUUGAAAUUGAUGACUUGGACCAAAUAAUAAAGAAAAGCAGCCAAUAAGUGCCCAACAUAGAUGGGAACUCCUUCAAUACUGUUUAAAAAGCAUCCCAUGGUGAUAUCUCAAGAAGUUGGUUGAGAAAAUGUCAAGAUUACAUUUCUGCAAAUUCUAAGCAAAGGGUGACUACUCUGAAGAUGCUAAAAUAUAACACAGUUUUGAUUUAUUUUGGAUUUUGUUUAGUCACAACAUAAUUCCCAUUGUUCCAUUUAUAUUAUUCCAUAGUUUUGAUGACUUUACUAUUAUUCUAAAAUGUGAUAAAAAAUUAUAAUAAAGAAUGAGUAAGUGUUUCAAAACUUUUGACCAGUAGUGUAUGUGGUGCAUCAUCAUUUUCAUCAGUAUGUUUAAGAUAUGUUAAAGUGUAUGUAAAAUCAUAAUGACAUACAGUAUAAAAGAGAUCAGUCAAAUAGAAUUAUUGAUAAAGGUAAAAAAUAAUCAUUCAUAGAUUUGGAAGUAACAUAACAUCCUGAACCUGAAACCUACUGUAUAUAAAGUGUGCUUUUGUGUUUGUGCCUUAAGUUUUACAACAAGAAACAUCAGUGAAUGUGCCUCCAGAGGACAAACAAGGUUCACCUCACUGGGGGAUUGCUUUAAUUGUGUUGGGAUUGGUGAUUGUUGGUUUGAUUGUUGGUGGUUCCAUUUGGUUCUGGUGUCAGAAUUCUGGAAACAGGACACGUUACAAUGUGGCUGGACAAAGCAAUCAGGCGUAGUGGGUGAAGAUCUGGACUGGUAACCAAAAAGGGCGACCUAUGAUCUUGAGCAAAACACUUAACCCCAUGUUGCUCUACGGGGAUUAGCCAUGUAACAAGUGAACUGUAAGUCACUUUGGUUAAGAGUGUUUGCUAAAAUUCCUAACAUAUAAUUUCUUUAUUUGUACUAUUUCAUUUUCUUUUAUAACAAUGGGCGUCUUUGUAAAUUGUUACUGAUAUAUUGUUAACUCUGUCAUUCUAUUGUUUUAGUAGCAUUUAGAGUCUCACAGCUUUAUAUAUUGCAGUGCUUUGUGUUUGGCCUUCAGUCCACAUGUAAUCAUGACUCUGUUGCUACACCAAAGGCAGAACUGACACAAAAAAAAAUUUUUUUUUUAAAUAAUAGUGAAUGAAUAAAUGAAUGAAAGAAUGUUAUAUUUCAUUCAUUCAAUAAUAGUAAUAAUAAUGUUUUGAUAUACGUAUAUAACAUGCACUGAUUAUACAGAAGCUAAGGGGGUCAUGUAUGUUAACUUUAUCUAUUAAUAUAUAUAUAUAUAUAUAUAUAGCUCAUAAACAUAUAUAUGUAAUAUUACAUGGCACAGAUUUCUUGAGAAUGUAAUAAUGUAUAUGAGGGAGAAAGGAAACUUAUGUUUAGCUUUGCUGCCAUUGUCCAGACAUUGGCUUUGUUUAUACUGGGUAGGGCUAUGGUCUCGUUCUGCGGAGGCAAAGGAAAUGUACAAUGAGGGCAAGUAUUUUAAGUUUUUGCUGUGGAAGCAAAAUGCAUUGAAAUGCUGCUCCAGUGAGAACACAAAUCUAAUGCAUUAUUCAUUAUAUCCACUUAACACCUGCCUCAGAACAGGCCUGGAAUACAGUAUUUACACUAGUGCUUAAAAACAAUAAAUGUAAAUCUGGGAAACUGUAAACGUAAAUUAAAUCAAGCUUAAAGGUGAAGUGUCUCAUUUCUGUGCCUGUAGCGGAACCAAGCGGAACUGCAAAUAUUAUGAUUGUUUUCAAAACAGGCAUUCUAAACAUUCCCCUCGUCAUCCAUUGCUUUGAAAUACAAAUAGUCCCAUCCCAAACACCUCCACACUUAGUUAAUGUUGCCCUGUUGGGCUGGUUAGGAUGCUCAAACGAGCAGAACAUGCUUUGAAAGUGCCACACUUUUUACACUUAUCGGGAAAAUCAACAUAACAAUAAAUUGUUACGUUGUCUCUGCAUAUUAAGCUGGGACAGGGUAAAGUAGGCUAUUUUAACAUAAUGGGUCUGUUCCAAAACAUAGUGAACAUCCUCUUGAGACAGCAUUUUAAGACAUCAUAGGCGUGCUCCCAACGCAAAUGCUGGUCCAAAAGUUAGGGAUCUCAACUAUGCUGCUUCAUAAGAUAUCUUGUUUUGGCCAAAUUCCAAGAUAUAAUCAAAUGUAUCCUUCCCCAGGUGUGAUGAGCUCAGCGGAAAAAUAAAUCCAAGAUGGCGGACAAAGCAAGAUACAUUUUGAUUAUUAAUAUACUUCUAAUCCAUUCACUACUGAAAAGUAUCGCUAAAUAACAGUUUAAUACAGGGCCAGCCAGCGGGUCUGUGGGGCCCUAGGCGAAAUUAUGAAACUGCAAGUAUGAUAAUUACUAGGUAACAUUUUACAAUAAGGUUUGCAUUAGGUAUCAUUAACAAUGUAAAAUACAAUUUUUCAACAUUUAUUAAUCUUGGCUAAUGUCAAUUUAUAAAAAUAAAUUUUUUUAUUGUUUGUCCAUGUUAGUUCAUAUUGUAUUAACUAAUGUUAAAAAUGGACUAGUAUAUGUAGAAAUUAACAUGAAAUAAGAUUAUUAAGUAUUGUUCAUUGUUAGUUCAUGUUAAAUAAUGUUUACAAAUACAACCAUAAGUGUUACCCAUUAAAGUUACACUAAAUAAGAGCCUCGCGUGUGCUGCGUGUGAAAUCGGUCACUUAUGAGGCAUCAUUUCAGUAAGGAUGCGGCCCAUGUAAGCCGGAGACAACAAGGCAGCUUACUAAGUUUUUGGAACAGACCCAUUGAAAAAUUAUACACUUCACCUUUAAUUAAAGGAGAAAAUUAUGUUAUCAAGAAGAUACUCAGACUAUCAAUACAAUACACAGAGUAAAGCAUUUGUACUAGUAUAUUGAUAAAUAUAUAUAUAUAUAUAUAUAUACACACACAUAAAUGAAUGAUUAUAUCGCUCUGUGCUAUGCUAUCUGCUGAUACUCACUACAUUGAGGAAGCAAUACUUUUCUUUUCUUUUUUAUAGUCAAUAAUGAAUAUCUAUUUAUUUCAUUUAAGAUGUGGUUACAUUUUAAAUAUAUAAUACUAUGUGCAGUAUUAUGAUAAUGAUAAACCUUAAGUCAGUGUAAAAGUCAGUUGGAUCUACAGUAUACUGAUCCAGUGUCAGCUGCCAAUUUGUUGUGAAAUAAAAUUAGCACUGCUAAUUCUGUUAAAAUUAUUUUUCCUUUUUGCAAAGCUUUUUAAGUAUAACAUGACAUUACUAUGCAGUCUCUUUUUAAUGUUUUCUGCCUUUAUUUUCACCACUUCAGUUCCUGUCAAUUUAUUUUCUGUCAAUAAAAUCUGUUGAGACCA